GUGACACGUACUGCCUAAUCUACUGUUAAUAAACUGGAGAAAUGCAGCUAAAAUGUGUGACUAAUAUGAUAUAUGAUAUGACUUGCAGGAAGAAGAUUUGACAACCAUUCAUGGUCACUGUGACAGCCCUUUCAAUUCUUCAGGAAAUGGACCAGAGCUCUUCUGACUCUACAGUGAUCCUUGAACUAAGUUCCGUCCCUGAAAAGGAGGACAUAAGUGUUCCUGAACUCAAGCGAGCAGAAAGUGUAUUUGUUCAUCAAAAAUGGCGAGAAAGAAGUGGAGCACAGAGGAGGUCCAGGCUGUGGAGAGCAAUCUCAUGGACAACAUCAACUCUGGCAGGGUUCCUGGCAAAGCCCAGUGUGAAGCAUCUAUCAAGGGAUCCUCAGAGGUGC
This is a long non-coding RNA of Perca flavescens (yellow perch), 392 nucleotides long. RefSeq lists it as uncharacterized. The transcript has 3 exons. NCBI's taxonomy places the organism in Eukaryota, Metazoa, Chordata, Actinopteri, Perciformes, Percidae. The record is from RefSeq and is a predicted model, not a curated record.